Molecule: ribosomal RNA, 422 nt
Filed under: uncultured bacterium
Lineage: Bacteria
Description: partial 16S ribosomal RNA
Rfam family: Bacterial small subunit ribosomal RNA
Source: RNAcentral
AAUAUUGGACAAUGGGGGCAACCCUGAUCCAGCCAUGCCGCGUGUGUGAAGAAGGUCGUCGGAUGGUAAAGCACUUUAAGUUGGGAGGAAGGGCUGUAGGCUAAUACCCUGAAGUUUUGACGUUACCAACAGAAUAAGCACCGCCUAACUCACUGCCAGCAGCCGCGGUAAUACAGAGGUUGCAAGCGUUAAUCGGAAUUACUUGGCGUAAAACGCGAGUAGGUGGUUCAGUAAGAUGGGUGUGAAAUACCCGGGCUUAACCUGGGAACUGCUUUCAUAACUGCUGGGCUAGAGUACGGUAGAGGGUAGAGGAAUUUCCUGUGUAGCGGUGAAAUGCGUAGAUAUAGGAAGGAACACCAGUGGCGAAGACGACUACCUGGACUGAUACUGACACUGAGGUGCGAGAGCGUGGGGAGCGAACA